RNA transcript from Andrographis paniculata, 1918 nucleotides. It is a transcript of the gene named protein BIG GRAIN 1-like E, with no coding region annotated. Lineage: Eukaryota; Viridiplantae; Streptophyta; Magnoliopsida; Lamiales; Acanthaceae. The record is from RefSeq and is a predicted model, not a curated record. The transcript is spliced from 2 exons.
CUUUCCACUAUAUAUCAAUCUAUCUAUCAAUCUAUCUGCCAAACCACAUUACAAUACAAUGUCGACUUCGUCCUCCUCGUCCCUUUACAUUUCCCCAAACCCUAAUUUCAACACUACCCCUCCCAAUCCCAACAUUCCUUCUUCCACCCACCGGAGAAACGACUCCGGCGAGCUCGACGUCUUCGAGGCUGCCCGCUACUUCUCCGCCCAAGAAACCCUCCAUCGUCUCCACAGCUCCGCCCGAAUGAGCCUCGACGUCCCCAUCUUCACAAACCCUAUUCAUCCACCUGGAACACUCACCGCCACCACCACCACCACCGCCGCCGCCGGGGGGAUCAGUAUCGAUCACAUCAAAAAAGAGAAUAAUGUUUACAGCGCCGCCAAAUUCAAGCAGCCAAGCUCGCCGGGAGCCCGCCUCGCCAGCUUCCUCAACUCCCUCUUCAGCCAGACCUCUUCCAAAAAGAAGAAGAAAUCAAAGUCCGGCAAGGACGCCGCCGCCGCCGACGAUGACGCCGCCUCCUCCGCCAGAAGGAAACGCCGCAGCAGCAUCAGCCAUUUUGGGAUCUCCCGGAACCCUAAUUCCUCCGCCGCCGUGACUCCCACCAAAUCGUACAAGGAGAUCCGGGACCUGGCCGAUCUCAGCAAGGCGCCGGUGCCGGCUCAAAUUCCGGCGGCCGGAAUGUUUAAGACUGGGAAGAAGACGACGGAUCAUAAAUCCAGGCUCAGCAACGUUGGUAGCAUGCCCAGUUUCGGCCAUGGAAGUAACUUAGGGUUUUCUGACAGAAAUUCCACGGCGGAAACGGAGUUCAGGAAAUUCAGCGAAGCCGACGACGGCGACGGCGGCGCAGACACUGAUUCGAGUUCGGACCUCUUCGAUUUGCCUAAUCAUGAACUGGAUUUCUUCUCCAAUGGCCUACCUGUCUAUGGAACGACGAACAUGGACAGAAUCAGGAUUGUUGCUCCAAUUUCCAGCACUGCAACAGCAUAGUUCUUUAAUUAAUUAAUUAAUUACACAUUUUCAAUUAAUAAUCAGAUAAAUAUAUGUAUCUAUAUGUAUAUAUUUAUUUGUGUUUCUUGAUCAUGCUUGGAAUGGAAUCGUGGAGAGAAUGAUUGAUUUUUGUGACAAAAUCAGGCCAAGGGAUUCUACUUUUUUUUCUUCAACUUUUUUCCCUCUUUUAAAAUCACUACUUUUCUUCUCUUUAUCUACAGUUUCCAUUACUUUUUAUUCUUUUUCUUUAAUGAUGAUCAGAUCUUCAAUGAUAUUUCUAAGCAAUUAUGAUUUUGACUGUUUACAUUUGAAAAUAUUAUUGCAGAUUUGACAAACCAUUUUCUUCUUCCUAAAAUCUUAAUUCACAUGAUUAUUUCUUAUUGGGCUCAUAUAAUUGGGCCGCAUUCAAUUAAUCUUCCAUAGGCCCAUUUUAGAAUCUGACACAAUAGGCAUCUGUUUCAGGUCUGAGUCCGACCCAAUUUUGGAAUACAGAGCGGACCCGAAUCCAAAUUCGAAAAUCCAUACCCGUAUAGGAGGACGGCGGAUCGUCGUCUCCAUCGCCAUCGUCGUCGUCGUCAUCGAGCUUUGCCUGUUGUUUUCCUGCGGGUGUGAAUGGUGGGAAACGAAGCAGCCUCGUGGUGCAAUAUCGGUUUCAAUCCCUCAAUAUAAUACUCAAUUGCCACAUCCACAACAGCACACGAUUACACUAUUGGAUUAACAAAUAAUAUCUCUCUCCUUAUCGCCAUACUGUUCAUAGGGUAAGCACUGACGUCGCUUCCUGCUGCUGACGAAACAGUUCAAAUCGGAAGAGAAAAAGAAAGAACCAUUUCUUUUCUUCCCCAAAUUGGUGAGAAUCUCUAAACCCUAAUUGCUUGCUUGUUGUACCUCCUCCUUGCUAAUCUCGUGCUCUUAAAUUUCUGUAAUGUUCCA